CACGGGGGGAGCAAGCGUUGUCCGGAUUUAUUGGGUUUAAAGGGUGCGUAGGCGGCUUUGUAAGUCAGUGGUGAAAUAUGGCAGCUUAACUGUCAAGGUGCCAUUGAUACUGCAGAGCUUGAGUACAGAUGAGGUAGGCGGAAUUGACGGUGUAGCGGUGAAAUGCUUAGAUAUCGUCAAGAACACCUAUAGCGAAGGCAGCUUACUAAGCUGUAACUGACGCUGAGGCACGAAAGUGUGGGGAUCAAACAGG
RNAcentral lists this ribosomal RNA (253 nucleotides) under uncultured bacterium. Its description in RNAcentral is "partial 16S ribosomal RNA". It matches the Rfam family "Bacterial small subunit ribosomal RNA", at positions 524 to 776 of the family's 1533-position model. The record is from RNAcentral.